AACGAACGCUGGCGGCAUGCCUAACACAUGCAAGUCGAACGAGACCUUCGGGUCUAGUGGCGCACGGGUGCGUAACGCGUGGGAAUCUACCCUUGGGUUCGGAAUAACUCAGAGAAAUUUGAGCUAAUACCGGAUGAUGUCGCAAGACCAAAGAUUUAUCGCCCAAGGAUGAGCCCGCGUAGGAUUAGCUUGUUGGUGAGGUAAAAGCUCACCAAGGCGACGAUCCUUAGCUGGUCUGAGAGGAUGAUCAGCCACACUGGGACUGAGACACGGCCCAGACUCCUACGGGAGGCAGCAGUGGGGAAUAUUGGACAAUGGGCGAAAGCCUGAUCCAGCAAUGCCGCGUGAGUGAUGAAGGCCUUAGGGUUGUAAAGCUCUUUUACCCGGGAUGAUAAUGACAGUACCAGGAGAAUAAGCCCCGGCUAACUCCGUGCCAGCAGCCGCGGUAAU
This 450-nucleotide ribosomal RNA is filed under the name uncultured bacterium. RNAcentral describes it as "bacterial SSU rRNA". It matches the Rfam family "Bacterial small subunit ribosomal RNA", at positions 29 to 524 of the family's 1533-position model. The record is from RNAcentral.